AUACGGAGGAUCCGAGCGUUAUCCGGAUUUAUUGGGUUUAAAGGGUGCGUAGGUGGUUUGAUAAGUCAGCGGUGAAAGUUUGCAGCUUAACUGUAAAAAUGCCGUUGAAACUGUCGGACUUGAGUGUAAAUGAGGUAGGCGGAAUGCGUGGUGUAGCGGUGAAAUGCAUAGAUAUCACGCAGAACUCCGAUUGCGAAGGCAGCUUACUAAGCUGUUACUGACGCUGAUGCACGAAAGCGUGGGGAGC
This 247-nucleotide ribosomal RNA is filed under the name uncultured bacterium. Its description in RNAcentral is "partial 16S ribosomal RNA". It matches the Rfam family "Bacterial small subunit ribosomal RNA", at positions 523 to 769 of the family's 1533-position model. The record is from RNAcentral.